GGAUGGAGGGCGCCUGCGGCUGCGCGGGAACGCGCUGAAGCGCUGCGGGCAGCGCGCGGGAGCCGGGACGGAGCGGAGCUAAAGAAGUAAACAGCUCAUGGCACGUUUAACAAAAAGAUGACAGGCGGAUACAAAAGCUAUCCAGCAUCUUUGGGCAGCCAUUGAGAUUAUACGGAACCAGAAGCAAAUUGCCAACAUUGACCGUAUUACCAACUAAAGAAGUAAACAGCUCAUGGCACGUUUAACAAAAAGAUGACAGGCGGAUACAAAAGCUAUCCAGCAUCUUUGGGCAGCCAUUGAGAUUAUACGGAACCAGAAGCAAAUUGCCAACAUUGACCGUAUUACCAAGACUGUCGUGCUCCAGCUCCUGAGGACUUUACCAUGGAUCCGUGCGUUACUGUGAAUCGUCUCACGUGAGGAUGUCUCACCCUGUCCAUUGCAGCUGCAAGAUUUCCAAUCAAGAUGUAAAGGGUGAAGAAUCAAAGAACAAAGAAUCAGUAACAAGUGAAAUUUAAGCCUUCAGUCAUGCAGAUUCCUAAUAUGAUUCAUAACUCAUUGUCAUGUUAUUUCUCUAAAUGCCAUGUAUAGUUUAAUGUCCAAUAAAAUCAAGUUACAUAUAUCA
Molecule: long non-coding RNA, 622 nt
Organism: Lemur catta (Ring-tailed lemur)
Lineage: Eukaryota; Metazoa; Chordata; Mammalia; Primates; Lemuridae
Exons: 5
Source: RefSeq, a predicted model, not a curated record